ACCUGCCUGAGACACAAAGAAAGAAGUUGGGUGGAAUGUUUGUUUUUCUGGAACAGCUUAAUACUCCCUGAAAGGGUCGGAUUUCUAGCGUAUAUCCAGAAGAAUGGCUCUUCAGAGGCUGAACUCUGCAACCCUUAAAGGCAAUGGCUAUGUUAAGCAGCCCCUAAGGAUGGCGAGAGAUCACCUUCGUUUUAAAAGCACCUCUACAGAGAAUGUCAAAGCAAGCUAAAGGGAAGCAGCUGUUACUGUUCUCCCCCUGUUGUAGGGUGCAUCUAGCCCCACGGUAAGCCAGAACUGCCUGAC
This 303-nucleotide long non-coding RNA is filed under the name Apteryx rowi (Okarito brown kiwi). Its description in RNAcentral is "lncRNA (ENSARWG00000003670.1)". The record is from RNAcentral. Lineage: Eukaryota; Metazoa; Chordata; Aves; Apterygiformes; Apterygidae.